GCGUGAAUAGCUCAGUUGGUAGAGCAUAACCUUGCCAAGGUUGGGGUCGCGAGUUCGAGUCUCGUUUCCCGCUCCA
Molecule: transfer RNA, 76 nt
Filed under: Acinetobacter baumannii 44467_1
Lineage: Bacteria; Pseudomonadati; Pseudomonadota; Gammaproteobacteria; Moraxellales; Moraxellaceae
Also listed under: 2 other names
Description: tRNA-Gly
Rfam family: tRNA
About the family: Transfer RNA (tRNA) molecules are approximately 80 nucleotides in length. Their secondary structure includes four short double-helical elements and three loops (D, anti-codon, and T loops).
Source: RNAcentral